RNAcentral lists this ribosomal RNA (235 nucleotides) under uncultured bacterium. Its description in RNAcentral is "partial 16S ribosomal RNA". It matches the Rfam family "Bacterial small subunit ribosomal RNA", at positions 101 to 334 of the family's 1533-position model. The record is from RNAcentral.
AAACGGGUGCGGAACACGUACACAACCUUCCUUUAAGUGGGGGAUAGCCCAGAGAAAUUUGGAUUAAUACCCCGUAAUAUUAUUGAGUGGCAUCACUUGAUAAUUAAAGCUCCGGCGCUUGAAGAUGGGUGUGCGUCUGAUUAGGUAGUUGGUAGGGGUAACGGCCCACCAAGCCUACGAUCAGUAACUGGUGUGAGAGCACGGCCAGUCACACGGGCACUGAGACACGGGCCCG